GGCAGAGCGUCCCAGACUCCUUCCUUGACAGUGGGGCUGUGCUGUCAGACUUGGCUUCCAUCCUCUUUACCGUAACUUCUUUAACAUGAUGUUAACUGAUACUAACUGCUGUGGAUGAAUAGAUGUGGAUUUUGUGUUCUUGAGGCCUUCAUGCUCUGACUUCCUGUACCUCUGUAUCUCCUGGACAGGGGAGAAACAAUGGGAGAAGGUGCACUGAGCUAGAGAUGAGUGGCUGAUACUCAAUACUGACAUUGGAAAAGCAGCCUAACAUAUAUAGACACAUGUUGGAGGAAAAGAAGAGAGAUGAUAGGAAUCAAAAGUAAACAGAAGUCACUGAUCUUUGUCCACUGCGGGGGACCCAACCAACAGACGAAGCCUUAACACCAAAUGAGAUUUCAAUUAAGUGCUACAAAGAUCACAAGCACUGUGAAAUGAGAACAUAAACAUUUUGUCUCUGAAGAUGACUGAUUACUACUGGGGAGACUGUGUGAAUGGGAAAAGGGGCUCCAGAAAUGCAGAAGAAUAGAUCAUGUCAAAUGAGAAGAAUAUGGAAAAUAACUCCAUUUGAAGCAGAGGAAAUCCUGUUUUGCAAAUCAAACCCAAACAAUUAAACAUGACUGAGGGGGGAAAUGAGGAAAUUUGUACCCGUGA
This is a non-coding RNA of Peromyscus maniculatus bairdii (prairie deer mouse), 651 nucleotides long. Lineage: Eukaryota; Metazoa; Chordata; Mammalia; Rodentia; Cricetidae. The record is from RefSeq and is a predicted model, not a curated record.